Molecule: ribosomal RNA, 480 nt
Filed under: uncultured bacterium
Lineage: Bacteria
Description: partial 16S ribosomal RNA
Rfam family: Bacterial small subunit ribosomal RNA
Source: RNAcentral
AUGAACGCUGGCGGCGUGCUUCACCCAUGCAAGUCGCACGAAGCACUUUAUUUGAUUUCCUUCGGGACUGAUUAUUUUGUGACUGAGUGGCGGACGGGUGAGUAACGCGUGGGUAACCUGCCUUGUACAGGGGGAUAACAGUUGGAAACGGCUGCUAAUACCGCAUAAGCGCACGGCAUCGCAUGAUGCAGUGUGAAAAACUCCGGUGGUAUAAGAUGGACCCGCGUUGGAUUAGCUAGUUGGUGAGGUAACGGCCCACCAAGGCGACGAUCCAUAGCCGACCUGAGAGGGUGACCGGCCACAUUGGGACUGAGACACGGCCCAAACUCCUACGGGAGGCAGCAGUGGGGAAUAUUGCACAAUGGGCGAAAGCCUGAUGCAGCGACGCCGCGUGAGCGAAGAAGUAUUUCGGUAUGUAAAGCUCUAUCAGCAGGGAAGAUAAUGACGGUACCUGACUAAGAAGCACCGGCUAAAUACGUG